Molecule: ribosomal RNA, 853 nt
Filed under: uncultured bacterium
Lineage: Bacteria
Description: bacterial SSU rRNA
Rfam family: Bacterial small subunit ribosomal RNA
Source: RNAcentral
GCGAGCGGCGGAUGGGUGAGUAACACGUGGGGAACCUGCCCCUAAGUCUGGGAUACCAUUUGGAAACAGGUGCUAAUACCGGAUAAUAAAGCAGAUCGCAUGAUCAGCUUUUGAAAGGCGGCGUAAGCUGUCGCUAAGGGAUGGCCCCGCGGUGCAUUAGCUAGUUGGUAAGGUAACGGCUUACCAAGGCGACGAUGCAUAGCCGAGUUGAGAGACUGAUCGGCCACAUUGGGACUGAGACACGGCCCAAACUCCUACGGGAGGCAGCAGUAGGGAAUCUUCCACAAUGGACGCAAGUCUGAUGGAGCAACGCCGCGUGAGUGAAGAAGGUUUUCGGAUCGUAAAGCUCUGUUGUUGGUGAAGAAGGAUAGAGGUAGUAACUGGCCUUUAUUUGACGGUAAUCAACCAGAAAGUCACGGCUAACUACGUGCCAGCAGCCGCGGUAAUACGUAGGUGGCAAGCGUUGUCCGGAUUUAUUGGGCGUAAAGCGAGCGCAGGCGGAAAAAUAAGUCUAAUGUGAAAGCCCUCGGCUUAACCGAGGAACUGCAUCGGAAACUGUUUUUCUUGAGUGCAGAAGAGGAGAGUGGAACUCCAUGUGUAGCGGUGGAAUGCGUAGAUAUAUGGAAGAACACCAGUGGCGAAGGCGGCUCUCUGGUCUGCAACUGACGCUGAGGCUCGAAAGCAUGGGUAGCGAACAGGAUUAGAUACCCUGGUAGUCCAUGCCGUAAACGAUGAGUGCUAAGUGUUGGGAGGUUUCCGCCUCUCAGUGCUGCAACCAACGCAUUAAGCACUCCGCCUGGGGAGUACGACCGCAAGGUUGAAACUCAAAGGAAUUGACGGGGGGCCCGCACAA